Molecule: long non-coding RNA, 637 nt
Organism: Xenopus laevis (African clawed frog)
Lineage: Eukaryota; Metazoa; Chordata; Amphibia; Anura; Pipidae
Exons: 2
Source: RefSeq, a predicted model, not a curated record
UCAAAACCAUCGUUAGAUUGUGUACAAAUGGAGGAUAUUCAAAACCAUCGUUAGAUUGUGUACAAAUGGAGGAAAUUCAAAACCAUCGUUAGAUUGUGUACAAAUGGAGGAAAUUCAAAACAAUUGUUUCCCAACCCAGAAGUGGGCAACCUUCAAAAAUAACUCCACCUGUAAGGCGUAUAAUAGUCUGAGAGGUUAUAAAGGAACCAUGGGUAGCUUCUAAUCAACUGAAGGCCUGUCUCACAUUGGUGAAUGUUGAUGUUCAUGAGUCCACCAUCAGAACAAUACUGAACAGCAAUGGUUGAAUUCUCCUUUAAAGAAGAAUAAAGUGAAUGUUCUGGAAUGGCCAAGUCUAAGUCCCAAACCGUAAUCCAAUUGAAAUGUUUUGGAAAGACCUAAAGCAAGUGGUUCCUGUGAGGAAACCCAUCAAGACCUGAAGCUGUUCUGUAUGGAGGAAUAGGCUAAAAUUCCCCUGUGUAGAUGUACACGACUAAUCAACAGUUACCGCAAGGUUAAGUUGCAGUUAUUGCUGCACAAGGGGGUCACACCAAAUACUGAGCGAAAGUAAAUGCUGAUUCACUUUUGCUACACGCAGAUAUGUUAUUGGAUUAUUUUUUUCAAUAAAUACAUGACUAGA